GACGAACGCUGGCGGCGUGCUUAACACAUGCAAGUCGAACGGAAAGGCCCUGCUGUUGUGGUGUGCUCGAGUGGCGAACGGGUGAGUAACACGUGAGUAACCUGCCCUUGACUUUGGGAUAACUUCAGGAAACUGGGGCUAAUACCGGAUAGGAGCUCCUGCUGCAUGGUGGGGGGUGGAAAGUUUCGGCGGUUGGGGAUGGAUGCGCGGCUUAUCGGCUUGUUGGUGGGGUAGUGGCUUACCAAGGCUUUGACGGGUAGCCGGCCUGGGAGGGUGAACGGCGACAUUGGGACUGAGAGACGGACCAGACGCGUACGGGAGGCAAUAGUGGGAAAUAUUGCACAAUGGGCGGAAGCCUGAUGCAGCAACGCCGCGUGCGGGAAGACGGCCUUUGGGUUGUGAACCGCUUUCGCCUGUGACGAAGCGUGAGUGACGGUAAUGAGUAAAGAAGCACCGGCUAACUACGUG
This 468-nucleotide ribosomal RNA is filed under the name uncultured bacterium. RNAcentral's name for it is "partial 16S ribosomal RNA". It matches the Rfam family "Bacterial small subunit ribosomal RNA", at positions 28 to 507 of the family's 1533-position model. The record is from RNAcentral.